RNAcentral lists this long non-coding RNA (1892 nucleotides) under Homo sapiens (human). RNAcentral describes it as "HSALNT0312609". Lineage: Eukaryota; Metazoa; Chordata; Mammalia; Primates; Hominidae. The record is from RNAcentral.
CGGAAUGUGGCUCAAGUUGGGAGGCGUUACCUGCGGAGGGUUUGAGGCACGCCCAGGAGCGAGCCCACGGUCGGCCGACGCGGGGCCAGGGGCGGGCCCCAGGAUCCGGAGCUUCGGGCGGGGCCGAGUCUGGGUUUGGGGCCCGGGAGGCGGGGCCAGUUAGGGCGAGGGUCCCUGGGAUCGUCGGGUCAGGCCUUGGGCUAACGUAGACACUCUCGCAGUACCUCCGCCUUCAGGAAGGUCUUUUUAGCAGGGGCCUUACAGGUGCACGCUUCGGUCCUGGAGGCCUUAUCCUAACCUCUCCAUCAGCGCCACCCGUCUGGGGCCCGAAAGGAGGGAGCUUUCCCUCUGUCCUCCAGCCUUUGGACUGUCUCCAAACAAGCCAUUCGUUCACCAAAUACUUAUUAAGCACCUACCAUGUGCCUGACAAGGGAGAUGUAACGCUGUUGUUCCCCACCAGAACCAAAUGAGCGCAAGAUCUGACAAAGAAAAAAAAGGUUCAUCUUUUAUUCCCCCAAACACUUUCAUUUAAAUCAAGAGGAUGGGAUGUGGUUAUUGCUGUGUUUUUAGACAGAAUCAACGGUUUCUGUGUCUGAGAUGUUGCAUACACCCUCUCAGUCCCUCUAUCCUGAGAUGGAGUCACCUGAGGAUCCACAGCAAGUCCUAACCAGGGAUGGGUCUGGGUGAUUAAGGAAGGUUGGCUUCAGAACUGGGCCAGGGGCACUGCUUUGCUUUUGCUGUUUUGAUCAGCUCUCUGCCUGCAGGAGACAAGGAAAACCAAUGGGAACAGCCCAGUAAAGGCUCCAUUCCCCAUUUUACAGCUGGGGAAACUGAGUUACAGAGCUUUUCUGCACUGAGUCAUCAGGAGCAAAUGCUAGAUCAGAUAGGGUCUCUCUCUCUGCCACCCAGGCCAGAGUGCAGUUGACGCAGGGCAGGGGAGCCCCGAAGUGGAGCAUAGUGUGUCCGGAACUGGUGGGUUCUUGGUCUCACUGACUUCAAGAAUGAAGCCGUGGACCCUCACGGUGCAGGAAUGAGAGGCAGCAGCCGGGGAAGCCAGGGUCUCCGGAAGUCCUUGUCUCUGGGCGGUGAUCCAGAGAGAGAGAGAGAACACGAUUGUCUCAGCAAUGGGUCUUCUUCUGAGUCUUGAAGGAGCACUUCCAGAGCCUCUCAGUGUUAAACAUCGUGUUGUGAAUGACUCCGUGAGCUCUGACCCAGUGACCUUGGGGAUAAAGGAGGGGAGGUACGGAUAAGCUCUUCGAAUGGAUGUUGCCGGGGUGUCAGUGUUCUUUGAGGGCACAGACUAUGUGUCACUAAAGAAAGAGCCCAGUGCCUUUUCUCAUUGCUCAAGAGAUUGAAGGGGUAGUAAGAAAAGAUGUUAAGUUAUAAACACGUUUCAGUUUUGGUACCAGUUGAACCAAUUUACGUUUUGAAGAGGAAAGAGUCUUGCCUACAAUGUCAGCCCCCGGGUUUUCCUUCUGCUUAUGGAAUCCAGGCAAUGGGCAAAGAGAAAAAGAAAACUAAGGAAUCAGCCAGGUGCAGUGGCUCAUGCUUGUGAUCUUGGCACUUUGGGAAGCUGAGGCAGGUGGACUUCUUGAGUGCAGCAGUUCAAGACCAGCCUGGCCAACAUAGUGAGACCCCGUUUCUACAAAAAAUACAAAAAGUUGCUGAGCAUGGUGACAUGCACCUGUAGUCCCAGUUACUUGGGAGGCUGAGGUGGGAGAACUACUUCAUCCCAGGAGGCUGAGGCUGCAGCGAGCCAUGAUCGUGCCACUAUACUCCUGCCUGGGUGGCAGAGUGAGGCCCUGUCUCAAAAGAAAACAAAAAAGAUAAAAAGAAAACUAGGGAAUCUAGACAGCAUAAGUUUAUAUAUAUAAUAAAGAACUGAGAUAGAA